AUGCAGACAGUUGGGCGAGAGACAGUGAGAUAAU
This 34-nucleotide small RNA is filed under the name Arabidopsis thaliana (thale cress). RNAcentral describes it as "ATSL187660". The record is from RNAcentral. Lineage: Eukaryota; Viridiplantae; Streptophyta; Magnoliopsida; Brassicales; Brassicaceae.